This 594-nucleotide ribosomal RNA is filed under the name uncultured bacterium. RNAcentral describes it as "bacterial SSU rRNA". It matches the Rfam family "Bacterial small subunit ribosomal RNA", at positions 338 to 956 of the family's 1533-position model. The record is from RNAcentral.
CCUACGGGAGGCAGCAGUGGGGAAUAUUGGACAAUGGGCGAAAGCCUGAUCCAGCAAUGCCGCGUGAGUGAUGAAGGCCUUCGGGUCGUAAAGCUCUUUUACCAGGGAUGAUAAUGACAGUACCUGGAGAAUAAGCUCCGGCUAACUCCGUGCCAGCAGCCGCGGUAAUACGGAGGGAGCUAGCGUUGUUCGGAAUUACUGGGCGUAAAGAGUAUGUAGGCGGUUAUUCAAGUCAGAGGUGAAAGCCCGGGGCUCAGCCCCGGAACUGCCUUUGAAACUAGAUAACUAGAGUCUUGGAGAGGUUAGUGGAAUUCCGAGUGUAGAGGUGAAAUUCGUAGAUAUUCGGAAGAACACCAGUGGCGAAGGCGACUAACUGGACAAGUACUGACGCUGAGGUACGAAAGCGUGGGGAGCAAACAGGAUUAGAUACCCUGGUAGUCCACGCCGUAAGCGAUGAUAACUAGUUGUUCGGUCACUUGGUGACUGAGUGACGCAGCUAACGCAUUAAGUUAUCCGCCUGGGGAGUACGGUCGCAAGAUUAAAACUUAAAUGAAUUGAACGGUNUGAGAGUGCGAGACGACGACGAGGAGGAGG